RNAcentral lists this ribosomal RNA (513 nucleotides) under Thermoanaerobacteraceae bacterium 50bF. Its description in RNAcentral is "bacterial SSU rRNA". It matches the Rfam family "Bacterial small subunit ribosomal RNA", at positions 1 to 527 of the family's 1533-position model. Lineage: Bacteria; Bacillati; Bacillota; Clostridia; Thermoanaerobacterales; Thermoanaerobacteraceae. The record is from RNAcentral.
UAGAGUUUGAUCAUGGCUCAGGACGAACGCUGGCGGCGUGCCUAAUGCAUGCAAGUCGAGCGGGCUACAGUCUUCGGACUGUAGCUUAGCGGCGAACGGGUGAGUAACACGUAGGUAAUCUACCCUUCAGAGGAGGACAACCUCAGGAAACUGAGGCUAAACCUUCAUACGUUCACUGGUAGGGAUACUGGUGAAGAAAGAGUUACCUUAAAGGUAGCUGCUGAAGGAUGAGCCUGCGGCCCAUCAGGUAGUUGGUGAGGUAACGGCUCACCAAGCCGAAGACGGGUAACCGGUCUGAGAGGAUGUCCGGUCACACUGGGACUGAGACACGGCCCAGACUCCUACGGGAGGCAGCAGCAGGGAAUCUUGGGCAAUGGGCGAAAGCCUGACCCAGCGACGCCGCGUGGAGGAAGAAGUCCUUCGGGGCGUAAACUCCUGGACUGGGGGACGAGUAAGGACGGUACCCCAGUAGAAAGGGACGGCUAACUACGUGCCAGCCGCCGCGGUAAUACA